RNAcentral lists this ribosomal RNA (613 nucleotides) under Drosophila guanche. RNAcentral describes it as "eukaryotic LSU rRNA". It matches the Rfam family "Eukaryotic large subunit ribosomal RNA", at positions 763 to 1323 of the family's 3401-position model. The record is from RNAcentral. Lineage: Eukaryota; Metazoa; Arthropoda; Insecta; Diptera; Drosophilidae.
GGGGCGUUCUAUAUAGUUAUGUAUAAUAAUAUUUAUAUUAUUUAUGCCUCUAACUGGAACGUACCUUGAGCAUAUAUGCUGUGACCCGAAAGAUGGUGAACUAUACUUGAUCAGGUUGAAGUCAGGGGAAACCCUGAUGGAAGACCGAAACAGUUCUGACGUGCAAAUCGAUUGUCAGAAUUAAGUAUAGGGGCGAAAGACCAAUCGAACCAUCUAGUAGCUGGUUCCUUCCGAAGUUUCCCUCAGGAUAGCUGGUGCAUUUUAAUGUUAUAUAAAAUAAUCUUAUCUGGUAAAGCGAAUGAUUAGAGGCCUUAGGGUCGAAACGAUCUUAACCUAUUCUCAAACUUUAAAUGGGUAAGAACCUUAACUUUCUUGAUAUGAAGUUCAAGGUUAUGAUAUAAUGUGCCCAGUGGGCCACUUUUGGUAAGCAGAACUGGCGCUGUGGGAUGAACCAAACGUAAUGUUACGGUGCCCAAAUUAACAACUCAUGCAGAAACCAUGAAACCAUAAGAUACUUAAGUUAUGUGAAAAAACAAACCGCAACCUCUGAAAAAACCUUAAACUAAAAAUUACAACCUUAAUAAGUUCCUAAAAAGCAAGUUCUGCCAUAGAA